CACGUAGGGUGCGAGCGUUGUCCGGAAUUAUUGGGCGUAAAGAGCUCGUAGGCGGCCUGUCGCGUCGGUUGUGAAAGCCCGGGGCUUAACCCCGGGUCUGCAGUCGAUACGGGCAGGCUAGAGUUCGGUAGGGGAGAUCGGAAUUCCUGGUGUAGCGGUGAAAUGCGCAGAUAUCAGGAGGAACACCGGUGGCGAAGGCGGAUCUCUGGGCCGAUACUGACGCUGAGGAGCGAAAGCGUGGGGAGCGAACAGG
Molecule: ribosomal RNA, 253 nt
Filed under: uncultured bacterium
Lineage: Bacteria
Description: partial 16S ribosomal RNA
Rfam family: Bacterial small subunit ribosomal RNA
Source: RNAcentral